AUCAUGGCUUUUUUGUUACAGUUCUGAAAAUUUGCUCCUACAAAUUGUUGGUUUGAAAACUGCUAAAGAAGCAUGGAUUAAAUUAAAGACCAUUUUUUCCUCUAGCACAAGGAUACAAAUUAAGCAGCUUCGCAAACAACUUAAGCGUCUAUCAAAAGGCAAUGACUCCAUUGAAGUGUAUAUGAAAUGUGCAAAAUCCAUUUUUGACUAGCUCUCUGCUUUACAAUCACCUAUCAAUGAAGAUGCUCUUGUGAAUCAUAUCUUGGAAGGUCUUGGUGCUGAUUAUCGACCUUUUGUUCAAGCUUUGGAAGCUCAUAAUUCACCUUUAAGCUAUGAUGAUUUAUUUGCUCUAUUUUUGAGUGAAGAAGCUCAGCUGUAGAUGGACAAGCUCUUUAUUGAUGCCUCUGUUCCUCCAACUGCACAGGUGGUUAUGAAAUUCAGCAAUCCAAAAUCUUCAAACUCCUAUUCUCAUUCUACUCGAGGUAGACGUGGUAGGGGUCGUGGCGAUUCUUCUACACAUAAUUAUCAUUGUUCCCAAUUCUCUUCGCAACCUCUUAUUUGUCACAAGUGUAAUGGGCAAGGGCACGAGGCUUGUCAAUGUCCAUCUCCAAGACACACUAUAAUACUUCUCAUCCUAUCACUCUUUUCCAUCCAACAAGUAAUUUUACCAUAAUAGGAAAUAAUACUUCUUAAUCCUGGACAAUUGAUUCUGGUGCAAAUUAUCAUGUUACUGCCGAUCGAGAGAACAUCAUUCAUUCCACUCCUUAUCAUGACAAUGCCCUUCCAAUUACUCAUACAGGUUCUUCCUAUCAUUCUUUUGAUCAUGCUCAGUUUUUUGUUAAAGAUAUUCUUUGUUCUCCUUUUAUUAACCGUAACUUAUUAUCUGUUCAUUCUUUCACUGCUCAGAAUAAUGUUUCACUUGGAUUUUUCCCUCAUAUGUUUGUUGUUAAGGAUAUCCCCACGAGGCAGAUUCUUUAUCAAGGCCAGAGUAAAGACGAUCUCUAUCAAAUCUCUCUCAAGCCAACCGUGUCUCCUGUUGUCAAUGUUGCGUCCUUCAGUACUUGGCAUGCAAGACUUGGGCAUGCCAACACUCAAACUGUCCAACGAGUGCUUAGGUAAAAUAAAUUGUUAGUUAAUAAAAUUAACACUGCUCCUUAUCAUGCGUGUCAAAUUAGCAAAGCUCAUAAGCUUCCUUUUUAUGCUUCCGAUUCAAGAGUUAGCAAACCCUUAGAACUUGUUUGUUCUUAUGUUUGGGGACCUUCCCCUAUUCCUUCUGUUGAUGGUUUUAAAUACUAUUUCAUUUUCUUUGAUCAUUUUAGUAAAUA
Molecule: unclassified non-coding RNA, 1325 nt
Filed under: Hevea brasiliensis (rubber tree)
Lineage: Eukaryota; Viridiplantae; Streptophyta; Magnoliopsida; Malpighiales; Euphorbiaceae
Source: RNAcentral